Molecule: ribosomal RNA, 465 nt
Filed under: uncultured bacterium
Lineage: Bacteria
Description: partial 16S ribosomal RNA
Rfam family: Bacterial small subunit ribosomal RNA
Source: RNAcentral
GACGAACGCUGGCGGCGUGCUUAACACAUGCAAGUCGAACGGAAAGGCCCUGCUUGCAGGGUACUCGAGUGGCGAACGGGUGAGUAACACGUGGGUGAUCUGCCCUGCACUUCGGGAUAAGCCUGGGAAACUGGGUCUAAUACCGGAUAGGAGCCAUUUUUAGUGUGAUGGUUGGAAAGUUUUUUCGGUGUAGGAUGAGCUCGCGGCCUAUCAGCUUGUUGGUGGGGUAAUGGCCUACCAAGGCGGCGACGGGUAGCCGGCCUGAGAGGGUGGACGGCCACAUUGGGCCUGAGAUACGGCCCAGACUCCUACGGGAGGCAGCAGUGGGGAAUAUUGCACAAUGGGCGCAAGCCUGAUGCAGCGACGCCGCGUGGGGGAUGACGGCCUUCGGGUUGUAAACUCCUUUCGCUAGGGACGAAGCUUUUUGUGACGGUACCUAGAUAAGAAGCACCGGCUAACUACGUG